GCGGCUCUGGCCCAAACUGGGAGAGGCGCCUGGCUUAGGACCAGGAGGUUCAGGGUUCGAAUCCCUGGAGCCGCA
RNAcentral lists this transfer RNA (75 nucleotides) under Kribbella aluminosa. RNAcentral's name for it is "tRNA-Leu". It matches the Rfam family "tRNA". Rfam says of the family: Transfer RNA (tRNA) molecules are approximately 80 nucleotides in length. The record is from RNAcentral. Lineage: Bacteria; Bacillati; Actinomycetota; Actinomycetes; Propionibacteriales; Kribbellaceae.